CUACGGGCCGCAGCAGUGAGGAAUCUUGGACAAUGGGCGAAAGCCUGAUCCAGCGACGCCGCGUGGGUGAAGAAGGCCUUCGGGUUGUAAAGCCCUGUCAGAGGGGACGAAGUUCUGACGGUACCCUCAGAGGAAGCACUGGCUAACUCCGUGCCAGCAGCCGCGGUAAUACGGAGAGUGCAAGCGUUGCUCGGAAUCACUGGGCGUAAAGGGCACGUAGGCGGCUUUGUGUGUCGGGUGUGAAAUCCCGCGGCUCAACCGCGGAACUGCAUCCGAAACUGCAAGGCUAGAGUACGGAAGAGGAAGGCGGAAUUCCCAGUGUAGGGGUGAAAUCCGUAGAUAUUGGGAAGAACACCAGUGGCGAAGGCGGCCUUCUGGGACGAUACUGACGCUGAGGUGCGAAAGCGUGGGGAGCAAACAGGAUUAGAUACCCCAGUAGUC
Molecule: ribosomal RNA, 441 nt
Filed under: uncultured bacterium
Lineage: Bacteria
Description: partial 16S ribosomal RNA
Rfam family: Bacterial small subunit ribosomal RNA
Source: RNAcentral